RNAcentral lists this unclassified non-coding RNA (5223 nucleotides) under Hevea brasiliensis (rubber tree). Lineage: Eukaryota; Viridiplantae; Streptophyta; Magnoliopsida; Malpighiales; Euphorbiaceae. The record is from RNAcentral.
ACGGAUUCGUGCUGUACGUCUUCGACUCUCGCCCUCCUUCCCAUCCGAUUAAAUUCAUUUCAUUGAUCAUUCUAUUAUCGUCAUCGUCAUCAGCGAUAUUCUACUCUCUAAAACUACUCCAUUUUCUCUCACUGAAGAAAAAGAGCGAGAGAAGAGAAGCUUUAUUUCGAGAAUCAUCUGCACGUAGCUAACGGAGCAAUGGUGUCUCAACGUCAUGGUGGUGGUGCUGUUGUUGGAUUCGUUGGCUUGGACGAGCUUAGCUUGGAGAUGGCAGCUGCACUUGUUCGGUCUGGUUACAAGGUCCAGGCUUUUGAGAUAGAAGGAGCUCUGGUGGAUGAGUUUUCAAAUCUGGGGGGAGUUAAAUGUGCCAGCCCACAUGAGGUUGGGAAAGAUGUUGUAGCUUUGGUUAUCUUAAUAUCUCAUGUUGAUCAAAUCAAUGAUGUAAUAUUUGGUCAACAGGGUGCUUUGAAAGGGUUGCAGAAAGGGGCAGUCAUCAUCCUACGCUCAACUAUUUUGCCAUCACACAUACAAACUCUAGAGAAACGUCUCAGGGAAGAUGGUGUGCCAGCUUAUUUAGUAGAUGCACAUGUCUCCAGGGGAAUGUCUGAGGUUUUAGAUGGAAGAAUCAUGAUUAGUUCCUCAGGGACAUCUGAAGCCAUUGCAAGGGCGCGUCCUAUUCUCUCUGUAAUGUGUGAAAAGCUGUACACUUUUGAGGGUGAAGUUGGUGCUGGAAGUAAAAUUAAAAUGGUCAAUGAGCUGCUUGAGGGCAUUCAUCUUGUCGCUUCAGUGGAGGCUAUUUCUCUUGGUUCUCAAGCUGCAACUAAUCCAUGGAUGGUCUAUGACAUAAUAUCCAAUGCUGCUGGAAAUUCAUGGGUUUUCAAGAAUCAUAUACCUCAGUUGUUGAGAGGGGAUGCCAAGCCCCAUUCCCUUAAUAUUUUGGUCCAGAAAUUGGGUGUCAUUUUGGAUACGGCCAAAUCACUGACAUUUCCUCUUCCACUUUUGGCUGCUGCUCAUCAACAGCUUAUUGCUGGGUCUACAUAUUCUGCUGGAGAUGAUGACAAUGUCACAUUGCUCCAGGUUUGGGAAAAAGUACUUAGAGUAAAUAUUCAAGAAGCAGCCAAUGCAGAGUCCUACAGCCCUGAACAAUUGGCAUUCCAAAUUACUUCUAAAUCUGCUGCUGUGAAGCGGAUUGGUUUCAUUGGUCUUGGAGCAAUGGGAUUUGGCAUGGCAACGCACCUGCUGAAAUCAAAUUUCUGUGUUAUUGGUUAUGAUGUAUAUAAACCGACACUAACUCGAUUUGCCAAUGCUGGUGGCUUGAUUGGAAACACUCCAGCAGAAAUAUCCAAAGAUGUUGAUGUGCUUGUACUCAUGGUUACAAAUGAAGCUCAAGCUGAGAGUGUUUUGUUUGGACAUCAUGGUGCAGUUUCAGCACUUCCGUCAGGAUCAUCCAUCAUCCUUUCAUCUACUGUAUCUCCAGGAUUUGUGAUCCAACUAGAUCGGCGACUGCAAAAUGAAGGCAAAGAUUUGAAGCUGGUGGAUGCUCCUGUUUCUGGUGGUGUCAAGAGGGCCUCAGAUGGAACACUUACGAUAAUGGCUUCUGGUGCUGACGAAGCUCUUAUGCAUGCUGGUUCAGUCCUUUCAGCAUUAAGUGAGAGGCUCUAUGUCAUCAAGGGAGGUUGUGGAGCUGGAAGUGUUGUAAAGAUGGUUAAUCAGUUGCUUGCUGGAGUUCAUAUAGCUUCAGCAGCUGAGGCAAUGGCAUUUGGAGCCCGAUUAGGUCUCAACACAAGGAUGCUGUUUAAUUUCAUUGCACAUAGUGGAGGAACAUCAUGGAUGUUUGAGAAUCGUGUUCCACACAUGCUGGAUAAUGACUAUACCCCAUAUUCGGCUCUCGAUAUCUUUGUGAAAGAUCUGGGCAUUGUUUCUCAUGAAUGCUCAUCUCGUAAAGUGCCACUUCAUGUUUCAACUGUUGCACACCAACUGUUCAUGGCAGGCUCUGCUGCUGGCUGGGGUCGUCAAGAUGAUGCUGGUGUAGUCAAGUAUUAUGAGACUCUCACAGGUGUUAGAGUUGAAGGAAAACUCCCCAUUCUUAAGAAAGAAACUGUUUUGAAAUGUCUUCCAGCUGAGUGGCCUGUGGAUCCCAUUGAUGAUAUACAUAGACUGAAUCAGAGCAAUUCAAAAGUAUUGGUUGUUCUCGAUGAUGAUCCAACUGGAACUCAAACUGUUCAUGAUAUUGAAGUAUUAACAGAAUGGAGUGUUGAGUCACUAGUUGAGAAGUUCAAGAAAAAGCCAACAUGUUUUUUCAUUCUGACUAACUCCAGGUCAUUGAGUUCUGAGAAGGCCAGUGCACUGAUAAAAGAUAUCUGCAGAAACCUAAGUAACGCAGCUAAAUCAGUUGAGGAUGUUGACUAUACUGUAGUUUUGAGAGGUGAUUCAACAUUAAGAGGUCAUUUUCCAGAGGAAGCGGAUGCAGCUGUUUCUAUACUUGGUGAGAUGGACGCAUGGAUCAUUUGCCCUUUUUUCCUUCAAGGAGGCCGUUAUACUAUUGAAGAUGUACACUAUGUUGCAGAUUCUGAUCGGCUUGUCCCUGCUGGUGACACAGAGUUUGCUAAAGAUGCUGCUUUUGGCUUUAAAUCAUCCAAUCUUCGAGAGUGGGUGGAGGAGAAAACUAAAGGCCGAAUUACAGCUAAUAGUGUUACAUCUGUAUCUAUCCAACUUCUAAGGAAAGGUGGACCAAAUGCUGUUUGUGAGCUUCUCUGCGGCUUGCAGAAGGGUUCAACUUGUAUAGUCAAUGCAGCAAGUGAAAGAGACAUGGCUGUAUUUGCAGCUGGAAUGAUCCAGGCAAAAUAUCCUUUUAUUCUUUAUUCUAUUUAAAAACAUAUGUAUAUUCUUUGGCCUUUCUAGAUUGAAUAAUGAAGAAAUGUUUAUAAGUUCUUGCUUAUUAAGCAGGCAGAAUUGAAGGGCAAGUCUUUCUUAUGCCGCACUGCUGCUAGUUUUGUUUCUGCCCGAAUUGGAAUUAUUCCAAAAGCUCCAAUACUUCCCAAGGAUCUGGGAAUAAACAAAUACAAGAAAGGUGGACUCAUUGUUGUGGGAUCAUAUGUUCCAAAAACAACAAAACAGGUUGAAGAAUUAAAAAUACAAUGUGGUGAUAUCUUAAGAACCAUUGAGGUUUCUGUUGAUAAACUUGCCAUGAAGUCUUUAGAACAGAGGGAGGAGGAAAUUAGUAGAGCCGCUGAGAUGGCAGAUUUUUUCCUUGGGACCUGCAAGGACACAUUAAUAAUGACCAGUCGUGAACUGAUCACUGGAAAAUCUCCUUCUGAGAGUUUGGAGAUCAAUUUUAAAGUGAGUUCUGCACUGGUGGAAAUUGUGCGGCGGAUAUCAAUAAGACCUCGAUACAUUAUAGCAAAGGGUGGAAUUACCUCAUCAGACCUUGCUACAAAAGCUCUAGAAGCAAAAUGUGCCAAAAUAGUUGGACAAGCUCUGGCUGGUGUUCCCUUGUGGCUGCUAGGUCCUGAAAGUAGACAUCCAGAAGUUCCUUACAUUGUUUUCCCAGGUAAUGUUGGUGACAGUAAAGCAUUGGCGGAAGUAGUGAAAUCUUGGGCUCGUCCUUCUAGGCUUUUGUCAACAAAAGAGCUUCUUCUUAAUGCAGAAAAGGGUGGAUAUGCCAUUGGUGCAUUCAAUGUUUAUAAUAUGGAAGGAGCUGAGGCUGUUGUUGCUGCAGCAGAGGAAGAAAAUAGUCCUGCCAUUCUACAGAUUCAUCCUAGUGCCUUGAAGCAAGGAGGAAUUCCCUUGGUUGCUGCUUGUGUCUCUGCUGCUGAACAGGCCAAUGUUCCUAUUACUGUUCACUUUGAUCAUGGAGCUUUGAAGCAAGAACUGGUGGAAGCUCUUGACUUGGGAUUUGAUUCAGUGAUGGUAGAUGGUUCACAUCUUCCUUUCAAGGAUAACAUAUCAUACACAAAGUGCAUAUCUGACUUGGCCCAUCCAAAAAAUAUAAUGGUGGAGGCUGAACUAGGGAGAUUGUCAGGAACAGAGGAUGACUUGACUGUUGAAGAUUAUGAAGCAAGGCUUACUGAUGUUAAUCAGGCUGAAGAAUUCAUCGAUGAGACUGGCAUAGACGCUUUGGCAGUGUGCAUUGGAAAUGUACAUGGCAAGUAUCCUGCCAGUGGCCCAAAGCUCAGGCUUGAUUUGCUUCAGGUAUCAUAAUCAGCAUUUGCCAAUGCGUAAAGAUUUGCGUAAUAUUCAUGAGUUCUGUGCAUUAGAUUCCACCUUUUCAAUCACAGACAGCAUGAAUUUUCUAGUAUAUUAAGGACACCAUGCAGCAGUUGUUAUGAAGUAAUGUCUUCCAUAUUUGAUGUUGACCUUUGCUUGCGGUUCUGCAUGGGUGAUUGAUGUUCAGUUCGUGCAAAAGCAAACUGUGUAACUUAAGAGGAAGAAAGUGAAAAAAAAAGGAAAAAAAGCAAUAAGGCUUGUUUCAUAGAUUCUGGUCCUGUGGUAUGCUGCUAGUCUAAUUAAGUAAAUAUGGGUCUGGGAUUAUCAUUUUAAAUAGCAAGUGUGGAAGUAAUUCCUAAUCAAAAUAUUAAAACAUUGUAAACAUGUAAAUGUGCUUCCAUUGCAUAUGGCUCAAGUUUUCCCUGAUUCAAUAUCUCAAUUUUCUGGUGUUCCCUCUAACCAGGGUUGCUUACAAAAUGUAGUUUGAGAAGUCAAGAUUUGCCUACUUCUAAACUGUGCUUGCCAAUUUAAGAGUUUAUUUAAUUUGACAUGAACUCUGCAUCGUCACUAUCAUUAGGAUUUGCAUGACUUGAGUUCCAAGAAAGGAGUUGUUCUGGUUCUUCACGGAGCUUCUGGCUUGCCCAAGGAACUUGUAAAGGCCUGUAUAGAGCGGGGUGUGAGGAAGUUCAAUGUGAAUACUGAGGUACGCAAGGCGUACAUGGACUCACUGAGCAGCCCCAAGAAAGAUUUGGUCCAUGUUAUAGCUUCUGCAAAAGAAGCAAUGAAAGCUGUGGUUGCAGAAAAGAUGCAUUUGUUUGGUUCGGCAGGAAGAGCAUGAUUCUACUUCUGUUUGAUACUGUGAAGGGUCCUAACCAGCAAUGGUUUCUUUGGCAUUAUGGCAUUGCUGUUUAUAGAUCAAAUUAUUCCGUGUAUUGGAAACGACAUUGGGACUAGGGAAUGGGAAUACUCGAAACCUAAUUGGCUAAAUGUUCAAUUUCAUUUCUGUAUUCAUUAGAG